RNAcentral lists this ribosomal RNA (443 nucleotides) under uncultured bacterium. RNAcentral describes it as "partial 16S ribosomal RNA". It matches the Rfam family "Bacterial small subunit ribosomal RNA", at positions 338 to 795 of the family's 1533-position model. The record is from RNAcentral.
CCUACGGGAGGCAGCAGUGGGGAAUAUUGGACAAUGGGCGGAACCCUGAUCCAGCGACGCCGCGUGAGUGAAGAAGUAUUUCGGUAUGUAAAGCUCUAUCAGUAGGGAAGAAAGAAAUAACGGUAACUGACUAAGAAGCUCCGGCUAACUACGUGCCAGCAGCCGCGGUAAUACGUAGGGGGCAAGCGUUAUCCGGAUUUACUGGGUGUAAAGGGAGCGUAGACGGCGGUGCAAGGCUGAGGUGAAAGGCGGGGGCCCAACCCCCGGACUGCUUUGGAGACUGGAUGGCUGGAGUGCAGGAGAGGGAAGUGGAAUUCCUAGUGUAGCGGUGAAAUGCGUAGAGAUUAGGAGGAACACCAGUGGCGAAGGCGGCUUACUGGACUAGAACUGACGUUGAGGCUCGAAAGCGUGGGGAGCAAACAGGAUUAGAUACCCUAGUAGUC